This 434-nucleotide ribosomal RNA is filed under the name uncultured Pseudobutyrivibrio sp. Its description in RNAcentral is "partial 16S ribosomal RNA". It matches the Rfam family "Bacterial small subunit ribosomal RNA", at positions 341 to 792 of the family's 1533-position model. Lineage: Bacteria; Bacillati; Bacillota; Clostridia; Lachnospirales; Lachnospiraceae. The record is from RNAcentral.
ACGGGAGGCAGCAGUGGGGAAUAUUGCACAAUGGGGGAAACCCUGAUGCAGCGACGCCGCGUGAGUGAAGAAGUAUUUCGGUAUGUAAAGCUCUAUCAGCAGGAAAGAAAAUGACGGUACCUGACUAAGAAGCCCCGGCUAAAUACGUGCCAGCAGCCGCGGUAAUACGCAUGGUGCAAGCGUUAUCCGGAUUUACUGGGUGUAAAGGGAGCGUAGGCGGUUGUACAAGUCUGAUGUGAAAGCCCGGGGCUCAACUCCGGUACUGCAUUGGAAACUGUAUAACUAGAGUGUCGGAGGGGUAAGUGGAAUUCCUAGUGUAGCGGUGAAAUGCGUAGAUAUUAGGAGGAACACCAGUGGCGAAGGCGGCUUACUGGACGAUUACUGACGCUGAGGCUCGAAAGCGUGGGGAGCAAACAGGAUUAGAUACCCUGGUA